GAUGAACGCUGGCGGCGUGCCUAAUACAUGCAAGUCGAGCGAACGGACGAGAAGCUUGCUUCUCUGAUGUUAGCGGCGGACGGGUGAGUAACACGUGGAUAACCUACCUAUAAGACUGGGAUAACUUCGGGAAACCGGAGCUAUUACCGGAUAAUAUUUUGAACCGCAUGGUUCAAAAGUGAAAGACGGUCUUGCUGUCACUUAUAGAUGGAUCCGCGCUGCAUUAGCUAGUUGGUAAGGUAACGGCUUACCAAGGCAACGAUGCAUAGCCGACCUGAGAGGGUGAUCGGCCACACUGGAACUGAGACACGGUCCAGACUCCUACGGGAGGCAGCAGUAGGGAAUCUUCCGCAAUGGGCGAAAGCCUGACGGAGCAACGCCGCGUGAGUGAUGAAGGUCUUCGGAUCGUAAAACUCUGUUAUUAGGGAAGAACAUAUGUGUAAGUAACUGUGCACAUCUUGACGGUACCUAAUCAGAAAGCCACGGCUAACUACGUG
This 497-nucleotide ribosomal RNA is filed under the name uncultured bacterium. Its description in RNAcentral is "partial 16S ribosomal RNA". It matches the Rfam family "Bacterial small subunit ribosomal RNA", at positions 28 to 507 of the family's 1533-position model. The record is from RNAcentral.